AAAUUGAAGAGUUUGAUCAUGGCUCAGAUUGAACGCUGGCGGCAGGCCUAACACAUGCAAGUCGAACGGUAACAGGAAGCAGCUUGCUGCUUUGCUGACGAGUGGCGGACGGGUGAGUAAUGUCUGGGAAACUGCCUGAUGGAGGGGGAUAACUACUGGAAACGGUAGCUAAUACCGCAUAACGUCGCAAGACCAAAGAGGGGGACCUUCGGGC
Molecule: ribosomal RNA, 214 nt
Filed under: Escherichia coli
Lineage: Bacteria; Pseudomonadati; Pseudomonadota; Gammaproteobacteria; Enterobacterales; Enterobacteriaceae
Also listed under: 4 other names
Description: partial 16S ribosomal RNA
Rfam family: Bacterial small subunit ribosomal RNA
Source: RNAcentral